UUUCCGUAGGUGAACCUGCGGAAGGAUCAUUCAUAAUAAAGUGUUUUAUGGCACUUUUUAAAAAUCCAUAUCCACCUUGUGUGCAAUGUUAGAUCUCGUCAAUCUUGGCGAGAUUUUUAUACAUCAACUCAUUCUUUAACUAAUUUGUCUGAAAAAUAUUAUGAAUACUUAAUUCAAAAUACAACUUUCAACAACGGAUCUCUUGGCUCUUGCAUCGACGAAGAACGCAGC
RNAcentral lists this unclassified non-coding RNA (231 nucleotides) under plant metagenome. RNAcentral describes it as "partial contains small subunit ribosomal RNA, internal transcribed spacer 1, and 5.8S ribosomal RNA". The stretch from base 183 to 231 matches the Rfam family "5.8S ribosomal RNA", at positions 1 to 49 of the family's 154-position model. The record is from RNAcentral.